CCUAAAUCCCAAACCCUAAUGUAUUCCCCAAGCCACCAUACCCCCCCCCCCACCGGUUCUCCCUCCACACUUCUAGUGGCUAUUCAGUAAGUACUUUUCCUAACACACUACGUCCCUGUGAUCAUCCAGUAAGUAGUUGCCAUUGUGUUGCUGCAGCAGUGGCACCCAACACUUCUGCGAACUCGCAGCAGUGCAGCGACACUACUAUUGCUACAAUAGCAAUGUUGUCGACAAAGCACCAUCUCAGAUGCAAUGCCUAUAGCUAGACGCGAUGUUGUUACCAAAGAACAACAGUAGUGUCGUCGGCAAAGAUGGCGUGCCGCUUGUGCCCAUAUGCGAAAUCGAUACCAGAAAAAAUUGGGGUUGAUUUCGGGUCUUUUUGGGUGAUUUCCUCCUAUUUCAAUCUAGUUUGCUUAGCUGGGGUUGUGAUUGUUUUUUCCGUGACCAUUGCCUCACCACUGCCGCCCGGCGAGUCACAGUCGAAAUACCGCCACCAGAACCACUACCAUCUCCGACAGUAAAACUAUUAUCUCAAAAUCACAGCCAAACACCACCACCAUCAGCUUGCCACUCCACAACCACAAAUCCCCCUCUCCCCACAAAAAUAAAUAAUGUGUAACCUAAGAAUACCGAAAAAUUAUUGGUGACUAAUUAAUUAGAUAUUUUGUGACCAUAAAAUAAGUUGUGACUUGUAAAAUUUUUGAUUUAUGACCGUGAAAUAAUUCUCACCUAUAAUUUUUUUUAUGGUGAGCAAGAAUUAAUUUGUUGACCA
This 772-nucleotide long non-coding RNA is filed under the name Olea europaea subsp. europaea. The record is from RNAcentral. Lineage: Eukaryota; Viridiplantae; Streptophyta; Magnoliopsida; Lamiales; Oleaceae.